This is a non-coding RNA of Equus caballus (horse), 23066 nucleotides long. The record is from RefSeq and is a predicted model, not a curated record. Lineage: Eukaryota; Metazoa; Chordata; Mammalia; Perissodactyla; Equidae.
UUUUUUAUUGUUGGUAACUAGUUAAAAAUAAAAUGAACACAUUUUGGGAAGGAGUGGCAAAGGAAAGAAAUCUAUUGACUUUAUUUGGUCCACGCUGUCAGUUUGUGAUUUCUAUGUUAACAGAAGGAAUGAAAAUGUUUACUUGUGCAUGUGGCUGCCUGGGGUGGAGAGAUGUGGCAGGAAAAAGGGAGGGACAGCAGAGAGAUAACUGGAGCUGGGGGAUCCACAGGGCCUGGCCUGGAAGUCAGGUGCAUCUGACACAGACCACAGCGGGUCUGUGGAGGGACGGCUCCCCCAUUCUGCGAAGACCUCCUCGUCCUUGAAAGUCCCUGCAAUCAAGUUUGCUAGAGGCACUGCUUUGGAAUUUUUUCUUUAAUUACCUACUUAAAAAAGAAUGUUUUCCUGAUUAUAAAAUUAAUACAGCUUUAUGUUGGAAAAUUAGGAAAACUCAGAGAAGGGGAAAGGAGGAAAGAAUGCCUCCCUAAACCCUUUUUCUAAAGACACCUCAAAUAUUUUGGUGAGCUUCCAUCCAGUCUUUUUAUCCACCUGUCUAUCCACCUAUGUAAACAAAAUUGUGGCUCUUUUUAUACACUUUCAACUAGCUUUCCCCUCUACUUUAAUUUUGUUAUGAAUGUAUUCCCUUGUCAUUGAAUAACUUGGAAACUGUGAUUUUUGAUAACUCCACUGUAUUCAAUUAUUUGAAAUUUAGCAACAAUUCUGUUGAAUGUUUUAUGUUUAAAAUUUCUCACUAUUAUGGAUAAUGCUGUGAUGAGAAUGCUUGACCACACGUCUGUCUCAUUAAUUCCUGGAAGUGAGAAUACUUGAGCAAAGGGUGUUUAAGGCUUGAUUUUUAUCAUCAACUUCUUCUCCAGAAAGACUACCAAUUUACAUUCCUGUCACCAGCAGUGGAAAAUUCUUGCCUCAUUGCAGCCUUGUGGGCAUUGAGUAUUAUCAUUUUAAAAAUCUUUGCAAGUUUAAAGGCAAAAAAAGUAUCUUAUUGUCAUCUAAAACGCAUUUAUGUUAUUAUGAAUAGUGUUAAACAUGUUUUCUCUUUUUUGCCUUGUUAACUUUUCUGAUAACUGCUUUUUGUUAUUUGCACAUUUUUUCCUACUGUAAUUUUCUUCGUAACGGUUUGCCUGGUAGAUGUGUUACAGGGAUAUUUUCCAGUUUGUCAUUGCUUUUUAAUUUUGUAUGUGAUGAUAAUUGACAUAGAACGGUUUACAGUUUCAAAUCUACCAUUCUUUUAUUUUGAUUCCUACCAAGCUUUUAUGCCUAGAAAGGUCUUUCUCUACCUGUUCCAUUUAUCUAUUGCUGCAUAACAAAUGACCCCAAAUUUACUGCUUAAAACAAUAAUCAUUUAAUUAUAUUUAUAUUUGUAGGGCAGGGAACUGGGUAGGGUCAGCUGGUGAUUUUUCUGCUUCACUCGGUGUGGACAGAAGGCAUUCAGUGUUAAUCAGCUGACUGACUAGGAGAGUCCAAGAUGGCGUCACUCACAUGUCUGGGGCCUUGUGGGGACGGCUAGAAGCCUGGGCUCAGCAGGGACUGUCCACUGAGUGCUUCCUUGUGGCCUGUCCGGCACGGAGGCCUUGGGGUAGUUAGAAUUCUCACAUGGCAGCUCAGAGCUCCAACAGUGAGUGUUCAGCAAACAAAGCAGACGCUGUAAGCCCCUUUAUGACAGCCUGGGACGUCAGCUGCUCUGUCAGUCGGGGCAGCCUCAAGCCUUCCCAGAUUCAAGUGAGCUUCGUGGGAGAUGUAGUGUAGAAUUCGUGGCCAUAUUUUCCUAUUGCCUCUUUACCCCACGGUAAGUUAAAUGCACAUUUACAUUUUUUUCCUAGCCUGUUUAUGCUGCUGUUACUGGUCUCUUUCUUUUUCUUGCUUUUUAUAAACAUUAAAUUCUUAAUCCGUCUAGAAAGUAGUUUUACACAGACUUAUAAUGAGGUUCAAAUUUGAAUAUUUCCCAUUAAUAAAUGAUUUCACUAUAACCAUUUCAUGAAUAACCAUCUCUUUCCUGAGGGCCACUAACUUUUAUAGAUACUAGGGCCUGUGUAAAUAUAUUGUUAAUUGAGGAAAAAUACCCUUCACCUUUCUCUUGACUUUUCUAGCAUUCUUCUUCCUCAGGUAAGGGAGAACCUCCUGGUUAAGAUCAGCUUACAGUCUGACAAGCACCAACCACAGCACUGUGGCUGGGCUGGCCAGCAGUGGUCUUUCUGGAAGGUCUCUCUCUGUGCCUCUGGGCCUGGCUGUAGACCUAACUGGAGGGGUUCCUACUUUUCAGUCUACUUUUCACAAUAUCGGGCUCUCCCACUGUGGCAGGGCCGUUUGCCUUGGGCUGCUGCCCUCGGGUGUGUCUGAGGUGGUUUUGUUGUUGUGAUUCCAAGUGCAAUAGUUCCUGGGGAAGAUUGCUUCUGUGAUGAAGUAACUUGACUGCUUCUAGGGCGAGAAGCAUUAGCUUGCUUUUGUUAAUGAACUUUGUUAACAAAGAGGGAAAUUCCAGUGCCUGGGGUUGUUUCCCCAGAACCUCCGUGUCUGUCUGGGUGAUGUCUAAUGCUGGCUCCACCCAACAUUCCUCCAUCCCACGGGGACCCUCUGUCCUGGCUCCCAGCUUCCUCACCCACAUCUCUACUUCCUCCUCUCUCUACCAUGGAGAAGUGCAGAGCUAAGCUAUGCUGUGGCUCUCUCAGUACUGUGUCCUUCUGCUUGGUCAUCCAUUUCAUUAAUAGCUACCCACACUAUUGCUGCUGCUACCCACCUCCUUCUGCAUCCCAUAUUCUGUUAGCUCUACUACCUUACCUUACUGAAUUCCACCCAGCAGUUUGGUGAGGUAGCUGCUGUUAUUCCCACUUUAGAGAUAAGUGGAUGGUGGCUUAGAGAUAUUAAUGCAUUUGAGCCAUGUAGUUAGUAAGUGGUGGAGCGGGAACUUUAACUUUGGUCACCUGCUGAAUUUUUAAACGCUGAAUGAUACUUGCUCUCUUCUCUCAUCUUAAUCCCCAGUUCCUAACUAUGGAUGGGCAUUUCCACUUCUCUUCCCUCAAAAAGGGCCACACACAGCUGAUACCAUGGGCCCUAGGAGAAGGACACCUGGCGAGGACAUCUAAUCCUGUCUGGCAGGAACAUUUGAGACUCAGGACUCCUGAAAGUUUACUUACCUCAUCCCUCCGCUUUCAGCCAACUCUUGCUGACAGGCUCUUCCAGAGAAAGUUUGCCCUGUGACCUGAGCCAGAACACACCCCAACCCUCUCUGGAGAGAAGCAGAGUCGGGGAAAGAAGAGAUUUCAUAGUGUGGACAGUGUUGGCUCUUCAGCGCCGAGGCCUCUCGAGCGUUGGUUUGCGUUUCUCACAGGCGGAGAGCACAGCAGGAAGGCCUGCUGCAGGAAGAGGAAGGACUUAAGGGGGAGGACUUCCAGGCAGGGAGGAGGUAGACAAGUCAGAGGAGGCUCCCAGAGGCUGUGUCCUUUUCUGCCUUUUGGCCUUUCUGAGAAUAGCAAGAUGGAGAUCUGAGCUUUUAGCUCCCAAGGUCCUGCCAGAUCCCAGAAAGCACAAAUCGGAGAUGGGCCAACCUAAGGUAAAGUGAAUAAAUAAUGAGUGAUCAGGGAGCUGCAACCUGACCAUCAAAUUUUAUGCUUAAUUUAAAUCUUAGAGAGGAAAACUUAUAAUCGUGUCUUCAGGCUCAGUUUCCUAACAUAUUUCUCUUUGUAAAAGUACUAUUUUUUUCAUAAGCAACUGGAAGAUUUCAAGUGUUUCCAAAGAACCUUUAUAAAAUCCCUAGCAGAGUCUCCAGUAAAGCUGUAAAUUGUAUUUCUUGUCCUUAAAAAAAAUUAUUGUGUUCUGUUCUCCAGAGGGAGGAAUUGGGCAAUUUUGUAUGAGGGACUGAAACUCAGGCCAAAUAUCACCAUUUCAGUCUUGACAUUUAUCUGGAAUCAGGAUGUGCAUACCAUCAAACCAUGUGACUUGGCACUACAAGAAGAUUUUGUUUUCUUUACACUGGUGAGCCUGCUUCCGUACUUUGUAAACUAGAGAUCCUGGCAAGGCCUUGCUCCUAGCCCACAUGGGUAUCGAUGGUAGAGCCUUUCUGAGGAAAUGCUUUUGGAGGGGCUUUAUCUCUUCAACCAGAGUAUAGCUCUGACUAAGCAGAAUCUUUGUCUUAGAAUGGUUUGAUUUUUCUAAGCCUAAAAUUGGCGUAAUUUCACUCAUUCCUUCCUUAGAGAGAUCAAUGGCGCCAACCUUCUCUGUUGCAGACACUGUUGGUUGCCUACCAGGGAGCCAUUUCUCCCUUUCUACCUUGCUGUCAAAAGCCUGAUUUUGGUUGCCCUCCUCUUAGGAGUUAUAGGGGUUAUGCCCUUUUUAGGGACUACCCAACCCUAGAGGGUGAGCCUUUAUUGAUUUUGGCCAUUGUGGUAGCCUUGCCUUGCCUAGCAAUUGUUUAAGCAUGGGUAGAUUGGGCUGAUUCUGGCCAAGCAGACAUGAGGGACGUCUGCUGGAGGAACACAAGCCAGGGGCAUUCCUUUUUUCUUUCUCUGAAGAUUGUUGACAGUAUGUGAGGCCCAACCUACAUCAGAUCUUGGGACUGUGGGAGAAAGCUGCAGAACAGCUGAGUUACAUCCAUGAUGUCUCUAUGUCAAUGAAUUAACCUACUCUGAAACUGUCCUACCUCCAGACUUCACGUGAUGCAAAUAAUAAAUAUUCUUCUUGUUUAAGCCACUUGUAGUUGGACCUUCUAUCCUUUGCUGCCCAAAGCAUCUUACACUGUGCGAGGUGCUUGAGAAAGAAGGAAACAUGGUCUUUGUCCACAAGUAGCAUACAAUCUAGGUAACCAGUCUCAGCUUCCACUUUCCUGUCAGCCCCAAUCUUAAUCCCCUGAUGGUUUGAACAUCUCCUUUCGACUCCUAAAUUAUGGCAUCACUGUAGUAUAAAUGCACGCAUGCCAGCUGCUCUUACAUAUAUCCCACAUGAUCUCCUUAUUAUCAUGAUUAAGGAAUGUAGUCAGUUUAAGUCGGCGAAGAGGUAUCAAGCACCUACUACGAGCCAGAUGGUGUGGGUGUACAAAGGUGGAUGAGAUAUCCUGUAACCCUAGGAAACAACAGCUUAGUGGGGGCUAUGUAAUUUGCACACUGAAAGUCAGAGCAAGCAUCGAGGUGACAAGCAGCAUUUGAAUGGUGCAGACAAUAAAUGCUAGGGGAGUUAUUCAGUUCAGCACAUAUUUGUUGAGCACUUCCAUGUGUCAGGUACUGACUCAGGUCCCUGGGACACAGGAAUGAAUAAGUUCAUUUUCCUCCCUUACAGGAGCUAAUGGUGAAAUAAUAAUGAUACAGUCAUAUUAAUUAUAUUAGCUAACAGUUAUUGAGCACUAAUUAUUAUUAAACACUUCUAUGUGCUUUCCGUAUGAUAGCUCAUUUAUUAAUUAAUUCAAUUCUGUGAGGUAGAUACUAAUAUUAUCCCCAUUUACAGAUGAGGAGACUGAGGCAUCCAGAAGCUAAGUAAGUUUCCCAAGGUGGUCACAGAGUUAGUGUGAUAGGCAACAUAUUAAUGGAAACUCUGUUUACCAAUCUUAACUAUAAUACAAUUAGACAUGGAAAAACUGGGAUCUUCAGACAGAGGAGAUAUGGUAACAAAUGGACUGCGAGCCCACUAUGGGACAGCAAGGAGGUUAGGUUGCCUACACAUUCCCCCAGCACAGCUGGAAACCAUGGAGCCCCAGACCUCGGGAUGGCUGUGAGAUUGUGAUUUAUGGUAAGAAAUAUAUCAUAUUGGUCUUGUCCCUUUUCCCAGCACAGAGCUCUGAAAACCCUUGGAAUUUCCUAAGAGAUGAGAGUGAUAAAGAUGAAAAUGGAGUCUUUCAUUAUUCGUAACAAGCCUCUUUCAACCACACCUGAGUUUGUUAAUGAACUGAUUUUUGGAAAACUCUUAGAUAACUUCACAAUGGGAGCUGGUUGCCAGGAAAACCAACCACAGAAUUAGAGGGUUGGAAGUUUUAGAUCCUCCACCUCUGCAGAGAGGAGAAGGGCUGGAGGUUGAAUCAAUCGUCAAUAGCCAAUGAUUUAAUCAAUCAUGCCUGUGUAAUGAAACCUCUAUGAAAAUCCCUAAGUACAGGAUUCAGAGAGCUUCCACAUUGGUGAACAAGAAUGCCUCCAGGUGCCGGGAGGGUGACACACCGCCAACUUCACGAGGACAGAAGCUCCUGCUCUAGGAACCCUUCUGGACCUUGUCCUAUGCGUCUCUUCAUAUGGCUGUUCACUUGUAUGCUUUAAUAUCUUUUGUAACAAGUCAGUAAUAGUAAACUGUUUUCCUGAAUUCUGUGAGCCAUUCUAGCAAAUUAUCAAACCCGAGGAGGGGGUCAUGGGAACCUCCAAUUUAUAGCUGGUCUGUGAGAGCACGGGAGACAGCCUGGGACUUGUGACUGCCAUCUGAAGGGAAAGUGGUCCUGUGGGAACCCAUGCUGUCUCUAGGGAGAUAAUGUCAGAACUGAGUUGAAUUGUAGGACACCCCGCUGGCGUCAAAGAAUGGCUCGGUGUGGGGCAAACCCUCACACAUUUGGAGUACAGAGGUGUUCUGUUGGGGAGAGAAGGACAGGGUUUUCUCUUUCAGCAGCAUAUGACCUACAUUUCAUAGAGGGUACAAUCUGCCACCUACUAAGCUGUGAGCUCUAAAAUGAGUGGUUUCUUUCGAUUGUAAGGACAUAUUUCUCCCAGGAACAGGGCUCUUGAAUUCACCGUGAUUCCCAACCUGCCCUCUGUACAUUUUCCUUCAUUCCUGGUCCAUUUCAUACCUUAUUCUGCUGGUUGGAACCAAUUAAUCUGUCCCCUGCCACACACAUACACUUACCUGAUAUCCCAAGAUGUUUCUAGCGCUCUUCUUAGAAGAAAAUGCUCCUCAGCCUGAGAUGGGCAAAUAGGAAGGAGAGCCAGAGAGCAAGGGAUAAAUUCUCUCAAGGCAUUCAUUCAUUCACUCAUUCAUUCAUCCAUUCAACGAGUGUUUCCUGAGGCCCUCCUUGGCGUAAGUUCUGUAGUCGGCACUAGAGACCCAGUCAGGAACAAGGUUAACAUGGUGUGUGCUCUCAGGCAUUUUCAGUCUACUGAGACAGACCCAGAAGGCAACAAAACACUCAAUUAUAAAUUCCAAUAAGAGCUGCAAAGGAUAAAGUAUAGAUAAUAUAAAAGAGACAAAAGGUGGGGGGCAAAUCUACCACAUUUUUGUGGUCAAGGAAGGAGGUCACAUUAAUACAAGACCUGAUGGUAAAAAGAGACUUGUGUGUUCAAGAAAUUGAUUAAGAUAGGUCCUGUGGCUGGCAUAUUGAGGGAGAGGAGAGAAUUAGGAAUCAGGAAAUGAGAAUGGAGAAGUGGGCAGGAGCUGUGGGAAGGGUUUUGGAUCUUAGGGAGAAGUCACAGGAAGGCAACAUGCAAUGUCAACUCCCUCAUCUCUGUCAGAAACGACAUCAUGUCCCUUCUAGAGUGAGGGAAAGAAUGCUGGAGUGGAGAGUGAUGCGGGAUGAGUGUUUGAUUUCCUCUGAAAUCUCUGGGCUUUUGAAAGAACUGUGUCUGGCUGUAAAUUAUCUGUGUUGAGAAUGGGAUUUACCAUUCCAGGAUUAGCGCUAUUCAUAUAAUGAAAUGGCCUUCAAAGGAGAACUUAAAGAAAGAAUGUUUUAAAAGGAAGUUCUGAUUGGAGCAAUUGUGAAAUCUUCAGAAAUGACUCAUCUCCCACUGAACUUCCUCUAGUGGCACAGCCAGAGUGAGGCAGGGUCAAAAUAAACACAUAUUUAUUGAGCAUUUACGCCAUGCUCAGCACUGUGAUAGAUGCUGCAGUGGCUGCAAAAAUGUAAAAGUGGUCCCUGUCCUCAAGGACUUUAAAAGAUAUUAUAGUGGGGAUAGCAGCAAGAGUACUUCAGAACAAUCCCGUAACAAACAGCUAAAGUGUGUACAACCUCCAUUUGGUGUUUCUAACUGACACGUCACACAGAAUUGAAACCGGUCAAGGGAUGAGGACUUGGAGAGUAGUUUAUGAAUCACUAAUGAGGCUUGGCUAAGCAAGAAAGCUGAGAUUCUCCUUAUACGCUGUCCUUCCCUCCCACAGGCUUAUUCCAGACGCCUGGGAUAGAGCAGCCAACUGGGAUGGUGUGUGUUUGCCCACCCAAUGCUUUUAUCAUUGGCAUGACGCUUGUGCACACAUUGGGAACCCUGCCUGUCACGGUCAUUUCCCAAACUUUCAGUUUUCUUAUAGGGGUACAGGCCUGUCUCCAAUGUCACACUUCCCCUUUUUUGAUACCAGUCAUCUAUUAGGAAGAAGAACAAGGUUGCACAUAGCUUGUGUAGAGAAAACUUAGAUGCUCAUGCUUAAAUGCCUCUGAGGUUGUAGGCCGGCAUGUUAGAGUUCAGAGUCUGGGCCUGUUACCUUGAGAAAGACAUUUGAUCUUAUUCUAUUCAAAUGAACAAGUUGGACCUGAUGAACUCCAGCCAAUGAUGUCUCACUCCAACUAGCUGACCCCUCUCCUCCUGGAAGCAAGAGGCCCUAGCCCCUCCUGAUGGAGAGCCAUUUUAUCUAAUAAAAUAGAGUCCAUCAGAAAGCUCCCAACUGUCCUAUUGGAGGUCACUGAGAGUUCAGUCAUGGUUUUAGUCAAAGAAAAACCAAGUGGUUUGUUCCAGGAUAUGGUUGUCCCACAAAUUCUUUCCCAGUAUCAGCAGGUAAUAUUGGAAUCCGGAAGUAGGAUUGAUGGACUGGGAGCAGGCUCCUGUUUUAAUCACCUAUGAUUCAGUUCUUCAUUCCACAGGCAUGUGUUGGGUGGUUGUUAUGUUCCAGGGCACUGUCACAGACACUGGCCUUAAACUCUUAAGAGUUAGCAUUGCCAUUACACAAGAAGGUUGAUACCUCAAAUGCUCCCUUAAAUCAGAACUCUCAAACUGCUUCAUCCUUCCUGGGAUUCAGGCCUUGGGUCAAAGUGUUGAGUUGUGUUUACAGCCAUUCACCUUGUGAUAUGUUGAAAACACCAUCCAGAAGAGGGUGCUUUUUUGGUUUACAUUAGGCAUCUUCCUUAAUCCCUUAGCAGACCUGCUGGCUAUCCCAAGCAGUGUGACAUCUCUCCCUCAGGCUUCCCACUCCAGUGCAGCCUCAUCCAAAGGGUUCAAAUAUUACUUCUGGAUUCCUGCAUUACCUACAGCGCCAACCAUGCUAGUGCUCAUCCUGGUAAAACUCAGACCAAAGAGAAAUACAAGAAAAUGUGUUGUGCUUGGCUGAUACUGGGAAAGAAUUUGUAGGACAGCCACAUCCUGGAACACACCAUUGAACUUUUCUUUAACUAAAGGCAUGGGUGAAUCCUCAGUGGCCUCUAACAGGACAGUUCUUUCUGAUGGACUCUAUCUUACUGGACAAAAUGGCACUCCACCAGGAGGAGCGAGGGCCCCUUGCUUCCAGGAGAAGUGGAGUCAACUAGUUCUUCCCUCUCCCAGUCAUGUAGAAAACUCAGGAGAUGGUUGUCAAUAAGCAGUUGAAGUUGUGGUCCAAGGUGCACUGUUAUUGGAGUGGUGAGACCUUUAAAUCUGGGUUCCUUCAUUUACUAGUUGUGUGAUGUUAAACAAUUUAAUUUCUUUUAACUCAAAUUUUCUUAUCAAUAAAACAAAUUUACUGUCUAUAUACUAGGCUGUUGAAGAGAAUCAAAUGAAACCAAAUACAUGACAGAUGUGGGUGAGGUAGAAAAGCACUAGGCAGGUGUGAAUCAGUCCUGUUGGACAUACUGCUGAGGUGGGUGACUGGUGUAAUGGUUGCCUUCCUCAACUCAACCACCACCCCCUCUCUGAGGAGUUCCCGGGUCUCAAGAUCCAUGGUUUCUCAUUUUAUCCACUUGAUGCUGUAGGCAUAGGGCCUAGGGCUUAGGACUUUUCAGGGCUCCAUUAAAAUACUUAAGAUAUGUGAGACAUGGAAAAAAUAUAAACUCAGAACAUAACUACAAUAUUAAAAAAGGUUAUGAAUAUUUAAGUAAAUGUCUAAAAUGUGUUUCUUUUAAUUAGUCAACUGCAAUGCAAAUUAACUCUUACUGAGUUGUAUAUCAAUUAUUUUUAACAUGUGAUAAGGGUGCAUCUUAAUAUGCUUGCUAUGAUGAAGGGUAGCACCGCCAAAAGGAAGUUUUUAGGGCCUGUGGGAUAUUAGGCAGCUCUGUCUAUAUCAAUGGAGAAUGUGAACCAGGAACAAAGACCUUUUCUCUAGUCUAAACCCACAUUCACCUAUUAUAGUCUAGUAUCACAUCUAUUGUUAACUGCAUCACUAAAUGCUCUUUGCACUUCUUUUCUUCCUUAUCCGUAUAAGCUACAGAAGAUGAACUGGUUCUAGUUUUAGCCAACUCCAAGAUUAGAUGAGCCCACUUUCUGCAUGUUUUGAGGGAUGUUUAUGUUUCAGGAAGGUCACCUCCAAUCCCCUUCUCCCCAUCGCCCACUCCUGUCCUUCUAUUUUUAUGGGCUGUGGGAUAUUCAUGGGACUCUAGGUUAUUUACAGGUAUUUAUUGAAUUGUGAGACAGCUCUUCGGUCAAUAGGCCUGAGGUGAAGCUAAGAGGCUUUGUGAAAACAGGUGGACAACAUCCUGGGCUCCCUUCUGGCCCCCGCCGCCCUGCUGUCUGAACUUGGGCAAGCCCGUUCGCUGGCUGCUUUCUGUCUGCUUAUCUGUGUAAUGAGAUGUGUAACGUCUCGGGGAGUGGAUGAUCAAUAAGAUCCAACUUUCACAUUCUGGGCUUCUGAUUGCACUUCUGAGUGACUCUGGGGUACAAGUGGUGUCAUAGACACUCAAUAGAGAGACACAUCCAUAACCUGCUCAGGGAGAGAGUUCAGUCUUCAGCUGACCUUGGCUUGUUCCUUUCGUCCAAGUUCAAACAACUUUUCAAAUUCGGAAAGCAGUCUGAUGGACUUGCCUGAUGAAGUGUUGCAUAAAUUAUGUGAUUAAAAGCAAUUGGAAUGAAGCUCUUUCAUCUCUGGAACAGAGAGCCACUUGACAUUUAUUUUUCCCCAGUUAAUCAUCCCACUUUUCCCACAGGGCUGUCUGCGAUGGCGGAUGAGGGAAGAUGGCCUUGCGACUUACUCACUCUGUUGGUUGCCUUUGCUGCUGACACCCAUCAGCUGCACUCUGCUUGCUCAUAGAACCCUGGUUUGGUUCAGGUCCCCGUGUGAGGACACAAUGCUGGGACUGCAGCUGCUAUCUAGACACCAUGAGGACAAACGCCUGCAAGCUGAGGAUAGUAGAGAGAGAAAAUGGAAAGAACCUGGGUCCUCGAUGACAUUUUUGAGCCACUCAUUUAAGUAACCUUGGAAUGUCUCUGCUUUGGAAGCUCUUAUUGUGAGAGAAUAAUUUGUCCCUGUUGCUCGAGGCCACCCUGUUUGGGUUUGCUGUUACAAAAGCCUGCCAACUGCUGAUGAAGCUGCCUCUUUGGCGCCCACAUUUCCCUCCGGCUUGGAGAGCGUUUGGGAGAAGGCAGCACUAAGGCAACGGUGCCCUCAGAGUGCAGGUCUCACGCUAGGGCUUUUAAACCCAUCUGCAAAGGGCGGAGGGGAGGGAAGAAAAACCCUUAAAGCUGCCAGACAAAAAGCUAACAUUUAUUUGAUUUCUUAAGUCUUUAACUUUGAAAUUCAUGUGAAAUUUUUAUUCUAUUUCUUAAUAUCUUUUUCUUCAUGUAAAACUAGUAUUUUACCUACUUGCCAGUUGAAUUACUUAAGUCCCCCACCCCUGCAAAUUUUCAGUGUGAAGUAACACUACCCCGACCCCUGGGAGCGCCUGAUGAUGCCGACAGGUGGGGCGCCUGCUUCCAGGAGCAGUGUGUGGACAGAACUUGCAAAGGGCCACAGGUCCACUGCUGCAAACGUGGAAGAGAUCUAAGCAAGAGGAAGUACCUUGGGAGGAUGAGCAACCUUUCCUUCCUCCAGUCCUCAGCCUGGAAAUUCCAGGCAGGUGGCAGUGACAGAGCGGAGCACAGACCACAUUCCUACCUCAGAUAAGGGCCACAUAGGUGACUCCCGAAAGGGUUGAGCCAUCACGGCUGAGAGCUAAAGGGACCUGCCCCAGGCCAUUGCUCAACUCCAGGGACAGUGUCUCACUUGCACUGUGCCUCAUCGACCCUGGCUGGCUGCAGUUUCAGUCCCAUGAGAAAGGGAUUAUUUGGGGUAAUUUGGUGACAUUAUUUUCGGUAAGUUCUUCCUGUGGGCCCCCCAUCCAGACAGGCUCCUUUGUGGUGAAGUCUAAACUCUCCCUUCAUGAAAAGCCCCCUAGAACGUCAGAAUAUCAGCUCAGCGAAGCCAGGGACUUCACCUGUCCUGUCCCCUGCUGGCUCCCCAGGGCCUAGAACUGCGUCUGGCACAUGGUAUGUGCUUCCUAAGUGUUCUUGGAAUGACUGACUCUGCAGACAUUGAAUUGCGAAUACUUCAAAGGCCAUAGUGGAGCAGGAGAGAGGAAAGUGCUUUGAGGGCAACUGGGCUCUAGGAAGAGUUUGCACCAAAGGAAUGGAGAGGAACAACUGAAGACGGGGCUGUGGAAGCCCGGGGCAGAUCUCUGAAGGCCCACUCCCAGAGGUGCUGCUCUAGUCCUCAAGAGCCAUAUGGGAGGACACAGCUCCUCUUUACUUGUGUGAGCACUUCUGGGCUCCAGGCCUAGGCUAGGGGAUGCUCUUGUGGGCCCGGGACAGAACUGUGCUCUAUCCCCUUAGCACUGCACCCACGGCCCAGCCAGGAGGACCGAAUCUGAUGACAAGAUUUUCCUCAGUCCCUGUUCUAUUACCUUUUCCUGUUCAAUUAUCCAGCAAAUUUUCAAGAUGCUAGUAAACUCAAAGGGGGUGGUUUCCACAUCUGGGAGGAAAGAUUGUGGGAAAGCCCCCAAAUUAUUCCUGGUGAGAGGAGGUUUGGGAGGCAGUGCUGAACCAUUCAACUUGAGAUAGCUGAGCCGGCACAGCGGCGGCGGAAGGGACUCUUGUUAGAGACCAUUCAUGGGCCCUCUGUGCCAAGUAAGUGGCCAGCGGGCACAGCAUCCCAGCCCCCGGUGACCUGGCUGUCUGCUUGGGGGCCUCUAAGUCCUCUGCCCUCUCUCCGUCUCCUCUACCUGGCCUUUCUCUCUCUGGGUUCAAAAACUUCUUGAAUUUUUGGGCUCUGUUCCAUCUGCUCACUCAGAUACCCUGCCUCUCAAAUGAGUAACCAAGGGAAGGAGAAAUUGAGUCAAAGGUUCCUGGCUAAUUAUCUCAGCUGACAUUAUGUAAGCAGCGGGCACAGUGGUUGAACACAAGCCCUGGGGUCAGCCCAGCUGGGUUCCACUCCUGCUACGCCUUUACUAGCUAUCUUACCCUGGACAAUUCACUUAACCUUAGUAGACUGAGGCCUUCUCCUCCACAAAGGAGGUUAAUGAUAGAACAUUAUGGAGCUGUUCUGAGGAUUAAAAUAGACAAUGUAUGUAAGGCAUUUAACACCCAGCUUGAUAUGUAGCAAGUGAUCAGUAAAUGUCAACUAUUUUUAUUUUUGCUUCUCCUUUUCAUUCUUGCUUCUUAUCUCUUUCCUAAGUUGACAAGUACCUUCGCCUCCUCACAGGAUGAGUGUGUUUGCGGGGAGUAAAAGCAAGAAUGGUAGGGGUCAGAGACAUUCUUCUGUCUUAUUUUUCAGGUCAUCAGAUAAAUUUAAAAAAAUACAUAUCACUAUUCACUGAAGACCGGGCAUUUCACAUACUGUAGUGCGUUUGAAGCAUGUCCACAAAUUUUUGACACUCCUUUAAAAGAAGGAGGAGGCUAAUCCCUCUUCCCUUGAUUAUGGGCUGGCAGUAGCCACUGGCUUCUAAGGAAUAGAAGGCAGUGGAAGGAAUGUGCAUGACUUUCAGGGCCAGACUAGUAAAGGGGAUAUAGUUUCACCUGUACAAAAAUACAGAUUCUUGGGAUGUGUGCCUUUGGAGCCCUGAUCUGCCAUGUAGGAAACCCAGUGACCCUGAAGGGGCCGAGCUGGAGAGCCUUAUGGCGAGGUCCCCAAGCAUAGGACAGAUGCCUUGAGAGCCCCAGCUGCUGCAGCCCCCACUCUUGUCUUCCCAGUCCCCAGAGGGAAGCCAUAUGUGAAUGAGAGAACCUCUAAAAUGGCCCCAGCUCCAGCCACUGGCUGACUGCACCCUCCGGAGAGACCUCAGUCAGAGGAGCCUAGCUCCACCGCUCUCAAAAUUCCUCACCCACAAAAACCAUCAUUGGGGUUCAAAGCUACUAGAUUUUGAGCUAAUUUGUCAUGCAUUAAUAGAUUAAAAAACACAGGUUAUCAACUAAUAACUGCAUGACAGGUAUUGCUAUCUCAAUUUUACAAAUGAAGAGACUAAGAUUUAGAGAAUUUAAGAUAUACGAGUAGGAUGACAGUGGGAAAGUCCAGAGCCGGCACGCAAAGGUCCACGUGACUCCAGAGCGGGCGCCCCAUCCCCUGCGCAGGGGCGAGGGGGGCGGGGGCUGCCUCUUUUGACACAGGAGGAGGCUGAAAAAAAUGGGGAAAAAUGCUUUUUUCUGUAUGGGCCUUUCAGGUGUCUCAGUAUUCUGGGAUUAAACACACCGUCGAUCACAGCGUGUUUGGAAGAUCACCGCCUGCUCGACACACUCUCACUGGGCUCAAUGUGGGAGACUGGACGCCCGGCCUGCGGCUGGAUGCUCGGAAGGCUCGGGGUCGGCCAGCGCGCUCAGGGCAGGGCUGCGGGCGGGAGGGGCGUUAGCAGCCCCAGGGGGCCCCCGAGUGCCCAGGGCAGGCCUGCAGCCCCUGUGAAGCAAGGAAGAGCCAUGUGGUGUAUGGUGAAAAUGGUGGAGGGAGACGGGACAAAGAAGGCGGAGGAGUGGGGCAAAGCUGAGAAGGAGGGAGAGGAAACGCCACGACAGAAGCUCCAAAGAGCACUGAGGAAAGUACUCCUGGAGAGGACCAUGAAUGCUCCCUAGAGACACAGUAAGGCUCCCUGCUGCUCCUGAGGGACUCAACUUUCCAUGGGUGUCCCGAGGUGAUCUGGGCCACAGUCCAGGUUAGAAUCGCCAUCGUGACCUCGGAACCGCUGUCCUUCUAAGAUGCGCGCACAGACAUUUCUGAGAAGACAGGGUCUGCUCAUUCAGGGUGACGUCUAUCGAGCACCUUUAUGUGCCGGGGACCAGCUGAUAACGGGAUGUAUAUAAUAUACAUAAAACGUAUUUUCUGUCUUGGAGGAGCUUGGGAUCUGGGGGCGAAUACUAUUUUUUCGAGACCUAUUGUGUGCCAACCCCUAUAGAGGAUGAUUUACUCACGUUGUCUCACUUAAUCUCGACGCCAAUCCUAUAAAAUAGGCAUUAUUACCUUUAUAAGUAACUGAACUUAGAGAAAUGAAAUAACAUGCAGCAAGCAAGUGCUUGGGUUUUAACCUGGUUAGUCUAACUCUGAAGCCCAUGGUCAUUCCACUGCUGAGCCUGCCUCUCAGGUAUGUGGGUCCACAUUACAUUUCUGUGUGGAGGGGUAAUGGGACUGUGCACGGAAGGCUUUGAGGCUGCAGAAGAGGAAGAGGUUGGUUCUGCCUUAGAAGAGACCCACGGAGGGGAUGCAGUGGUGUUAGAAGUUUUCAGAUCUGGGCUGUGAAGGAUGAGGAGGAGCUUGGUAUUUGGAGGAGGGCGUUGUGGGCAGAGAGGGCAGUGUGUGAGGGAAGGAAGGCAGGGAGGUGACCCCUCAGAGACAGGCCUGGGCCCUGUGUUUCUUGUUGAAGGCUUAUGGAUGUCCCUGCAAUGGAGGCACCGAGGUUUUUAAGCGGGAAAGGUACGUGGUCAGAUUCGCCUUCUACAAAUGUCAGCCCCGUGGCUCUGUGGAGUACUGCUGGGAGCAGCAAGGGUUUGGACCUUCUCCCUGGGCUAUUGUACUGAUCCCUGAACUUCAGAAUUCUCCUGUUGAGAUGUGUGAUUCUUUCUCCUGCUUGCAAACCCUCUUCUCCCUCUGGGGCCCUAACUUACUGAACAGAUCAUAUCAUUCCUCUGCUCAAACCAUGCCAUAGUUUUCAUGAGAGCAAAAGGCAAAGUCCUCACAGUGUCCAACAGGGCCAGUCACAAGCUGACCCCAUUACCUCUUUGAGGUUUGCCCAUCACUCUUCCUUUGGCUCCCGCUGCUGCAGCCACGCUGGCCCCCAUGUGUUCCUCCAGCACUCCAGGCACACUCCCAUGGUGAGGCCUUUGCCCCAGCCUUGCCCCUCACACAUCCUCACCUCCCACCAGUCUUUGCUCAAGUCUUCCCUUCUCCAUGAGGCCCAGCCUGACCACCAUUUUCAACACUGCAGCCGCCCCUUCCCCUGUCCACUGCAGUCCUGGUCCUCUUUGCCCAGCUCUUCUUUUUUCUCCGUAGCAGCUAUCACCUGGCGUGCAGUGUAAUUGGCUUGUUAUUAUGUGUAUUAUUUAUUGUCCUUCUUUCGUCCCCGUAGAAGGUAAGCUCAUGAGGACAGGGAUCUAUUUGUCAUUGCUGUUCAUUGAUGCAGGCAUUACCCAUGAUUCUUCUGUGUCCAGUCCAUCAGCAAGUCUCCAGACUUUGUCCUCCAGAGCCUGGAAUAGUGCCUGAUUUGUGGCCAUCUUGCUUGCAGUUUUGUUAGCAAUUUUUCUCUGGUUUAAUCACAAAAGGGUACCCAUUUAUUAAGCAGAUCAUUGCACUCAGGGCCAGUCAGUGAAAUGAAAAGAAGUAACUGGUCCAGUGGGGUUCAGCUCUCCAUCCUGGCCUCAGAGGCACAGGACUCCACUGCCUUACCCGUAGCAAUCAGACAAGGGAUCCCGCAUCCCCACCUUCAUCUGCACCCCCAUCCUCUGCCUUUCUGUCUCACAAGGUAUGCAGCAUCACAUUCUUAUCAAGGGCCGAGCCCUCCCCACUGCUCAGGCUCCUCAAAGACUGGCUUCUACAACCAAGCUUUUUCUCUCCUCUGAGUGGAGUGUCUCCAUUCAUGAGGUGGUAACCAUCAGAAUGCAAACGAUAUUUUCUAUAUUAAAUCCAUAUCUCACAUACUACCCAUACACUUUUGGGUAAAACACUGGAAAAAACCUGACUUUAAUUCCUUUCCUCACCUCUUUGUUUCUCCUUGGCCAAAUCCAGUAAGGAUUUGUCCUCCCCACUGUACUGAAACUGCUCUUGUCAAGAUCACCAGUGCCCUCCGUCCUGCCAAAUGCCAUGGUCACUAUUCUAUCCUUAUUUGAUUUUACCUGUUGGCAGCUUCCUACACAGUCUUUGCUUUCUGUAAAUUUAUUGACUGAGUUUUUUCCCUAAACAUUGGCCAUUCGUUUUCAUUGCUUUUUCAGGAUCCACCCCCUCCCUCCAUUAGACCUCUAAACAUUAGUGGCUCCGGAACUGAAUCUUUGACCCCAUCCUCUCCUCUCCUCCCUCUCUGCCCUUCUCCCCUCCUUUCCCUCUCUCUCCUCCCAUCCCACCUCUUCUCUAUCAACACUUUCCUCCUAGUGAUCUCAGCUAGUUUGAGUCUUCAGAUGCCAUCUAUAUGCUUUUAACUCCCUGACAAUACCUCUGAUCUCCAGAGCAGAUUACCAGCUGCCCUCUUGACCUGUCUACUAGGUUGUUUGAUAAACAUUCCACACUGUUCAUAGGCACCUUCACUUUUCCACCUUAGCCUCUUCUUCCCCGUUUUUCCUCCGUAUCAGGGAAGUGUCUCUACCAUACACUAAGGUGAAUUAGCCCCAAACCCAGGCGUUGUCCUUGAUUCCUCUCCUUUCCUCUCUUCCUCUACCCAACCCAUUAACAAGUUGAGUUGAUUCUGCCUCCAAGACAUCUCUCGAAUCUGUCUGCUUCUCCCCAUCUCCACUGCCGCCACUCUGACCCAGUUUGACCAGCUCUCCUGGAGCACUGCAAUAAGGGUGAAACUGGGGUCUCUACUCCAUCCUUUGCCCCAUCUGGAAUCUAGCCUCUGCAUAGGAGCCAUAUUUAAAUCAGAUCCCACCAUUCACUGCUUAAAAACACUCCUGUGGCUUCCAGUAGCACCAGGAAUAAAAUACAGAUGCACUGUCGUGGCCCACAAGGCCUCAUGAAUGUCCCUGGCUUUGCCUGACCUCACGUCAUGGCACCUGCCCUGAGCCACCACGCUCCAGGCAUUCUGACCUUCUUUCUCUUCCUUACACAAAAACAGGUUUAUUCCAGCCUCAAGGCCUGCGCGCUCGCUGUUCCCUCUUCCUGAGACCCUGACCGCUGUCUCCUCUUCAGUGUUCAGACUCCAGCCUACUCUUUACCUGCCUGGGGGACGUGUCUUCAGCACUCCAACUAAAGCAGCACCCACCACCUCCUCAACCCUCCACUCUGCUUGUUAUUCUGUUUUAUGUUCUUGAUAGCACUUAUUGCUGUCGGAAUUUGUCUGCUGGAUUUAUUUAUUUCCUGUCUGUUUCAAAGAGUAGACUCAAAUAAAAGCUUUGGGAGAGCAGGGAUUUUGUCUGCCUUGUCCACUGCUCUGUUCUCAGUUCCCAAAACAGUGCGUGGCACUUAUUAGGCCUCAUGGUUUAUAUGUUAAAUACACAAAUGAACGAAUGAAUGAAUGAAUGAAUACAGGGUUGAGAGAACAUGCAGCCGCCUGUAUGAGUACUUGGGGGAUGGUGAGAAGGCUUUUUACUCCUCUGAAAUCUUUCCAUCUUGCCUCCUACUAAUGCCUGAAGUUCCAUUUUUAAAGAAUAAUGUUAACUUUUGCUUCUGGUUAUGAUUUAUCUGUAUAGCCAAAAACAUGCAUAAAACCUGGGGAAAAUAUGUAAAACAAUUUUUAUCUCUCCACUUUGGUCUUCUUUGUGUAUCCAGAAUCUAAGGGCUCAUGCUUUUCACCAAUUCUAGAAGAAUCCUUGGGCAUUAUCUGUUAGAUGUCGUCCACCCCUGUGCUUUCUGUCCUCUCUCAGGGGCUCAUGCUGGACAUUCACUUUCGAGCUCUAUGUCAUUUUCCUUCUCUUUCAUAUGUUUAAUCUCUUUCUCUGUGCUGAAUUCUGGAUUCUUUCCUCGGAUUUACCUUGGCUCACUAAUUCUCCCUUCCCAUGUGUUUAAUCUGCUCUUUAAUUUAGUUUUACAUUCAAUCACGCUAUUUUUCCCUUCUAGAAGUUAAUUUUUUUAAAUUGCAUGGUUUUUGAUAGUUAUUUUCUCAUGUUUUAAAUUUUAUCUUUAAUUAAUUAAUAAGCUUAAAACACAUUUUUAUAGUUAGCCAAUAAUCACAUUAUCUCAAUCCUUAGGAGUCUGACUGGGCUUUUGUUUUUGCUGACUCUUGCUCAUGGUGGCUUGUUUCCUCAUGCUCUGUACUUCUCACUUUUGAGCUCAUGCUCAGCUUGGCUUUAUCUGUGGGAUUCCUGUGGCAUCUGUGCUGAGUACCGUCCCUCCAGGUAUGGUUUAUUUUAGCAUCUGCUAAAAGCUUGAGUUUGUUACUAACCUAGGACCAUUUUAUGUGAAUUUCUUAGUUUGGGGUUUCCAAGGAAACACAGAGAAUGUAAUCAUGGACCCCAAUCCAUAGGCGGGCAGGCUGGGGUUAUGGAUUCUGAGAGGAGACUUUUUUCUAAAGAGCCCUGGAUGAUAUGUGCAGGGAUUAUUUCAUGCCCACUUUGUUGGCGAGCAGCUGUAUUUUUUCCUUUGCUCACCUUCACUGAGGAUGAUAUUUCAAUGUUCUUGGCUUUAUGCAGGAGUCUUGGCUUCAUCCCUCCACCUUGUGUGGUUGAAGGGUUUGUCUCCUGCUCUCACAUGGCUUUUCCACGGGCGAAGAGAAUGAAAGUUAUCCUCGGGGCAGUCUCAUCUUCAACAAUCUCCAGGGAACGCCCUUAUUUCCAUGCAAAGUCAGCUAUACACUGGAGAGACUUGCUAUGUGUGAUCCAGUAUUUUUAUGUGCUUUUUGAUGGCAAGGUUUGUAUAUUAUCUAGUCUACUAUAUUUUCAGAGAUAGAAGUCAUCACUCUUAUAUAAGCCAUGUAUUAGUUAAUGCUUCAUGCCUUUAUAUAUUGACUUUCCUAUUAUUGAUAAUAAUUUUAACCCUUUAGAGAAUUUUAAAGCUCACAAAUCCUUUCCAUAUCUAUUCACCCAUAGGAAUCAUUGCCUUCUUUUUAUAGACAAGGAAACUGGGCUCAGAGUUAAGUGACUUGUCUCAUAAUUAACAAUUUUUUUAUACCUGUUCGGUGUCAGGUACUAUAAAUAUAUUCUGGCAAAGGCUUACAGAAGACCCAUGAAAUGGGCGUUGUUUUCUGUGUCUCAUGAUUGAGAAAGCUCAGUGUCUGAAGGCUUAUGUAACUCAUUUAAGGUCCCAUAGCUGGUCAUACUCAGGCCUGCCUGAUUCAGGAGCCGGUUCUUUCCAGUGCUGUCUCUGCUCAUUCCAUUUUGCCAGACUGCUUUCCUAGAUGUGGGCUCAGUGAGGGCAUUGAUGCAUUAGUGCGAAUCUGUACUCAGAAAGCUCUUUACUAAUAAAUGUGUUCAUUAGUUACCAUCGUUCAUUGGUUAGUUGCAAAUGUGCUCUAUGUGUUUUUUUCAAUCUUAGUUACAUCUGGGGGGAAAGUUCCUUUGGAGUCUUAAAUGACCCAAAUGACCCCAGACACUACCAUUUACUGCUGUCACCUGCUAAAGGUGUAGAACUCUUGCCUAAGGAUUCCUAGCUAGCAUCUCAAGCUGUGGUUUUUAAUCUUUUCUUGUUGAGCCAUGAAUUUAUUUUUCUCAUGCUGUUUCACACAGAAUCCUAACAUAAGUCAGAUAAAUCAGAGCAGUGGCACUUCCUAAGGACUACAUACCGGCCUCCCACCACAGGUCACUUCAUGAUAAAUUUGUAAUCUCAUAAAAAAUAUAUAAACAAGUAAAAAAGAAAUAAAAAUCACUGGUUUUGAUAAACAUAUUCAUCUGUCUACUAAAAUAGCUCCUGAUUCUUAGUUUUUAGUUUCUACUAUUUGUAUCUAUAUAAUUAUGUGAGCCCAGGACAUUGAAAAACCAUGUCUCUAAGAAAGAAAGAAGAAAUUGCCUGUACUCUGAACCUGAUAUGCCGUACCAGUGCUCUUUAAUUCAGUCCAACAUCCUAAUUUGUCAGUCUCAAUGAAACAACAUAGCAUCGAUCAGCCAAAGUCGGAGGUAGGAAACUUGAGACUUCAAAAGAAAUCUCUCCUCUCGGUAAGUCGCUUUGUCUUCUCAUGGGGAAUGCAUCUUUUUUCUCUGCCCCUCUGGAUACUUCCAUGUAAAAGUUUUGGGAGGCCCUGCCUCAGGUCAUUCUAAAGCCAGGAGUUUGGACUCUAAAACCCGAGGUCUUUCCAUUAUACAACAUACUUCCUUGGUCCUUCCUCUUUUCCCCAGCCUGAGAUCAACAUAACUCUAUUUCUUAUUUGAGACCCAAAUCAAGUCUCAUUUUCUCUCAGAAGUGGCUCUUGGCUGUCUCUAUUCAUAAAGAUUUUUCUGUCCUUUGAACUUAGAGCUGACACAUGACUACAAUCCCACUCAAGAUAUAUCCCUUGGGUACCUUUUCUAUCUAUCUGCCCCGUUCCUUUAAAGGCUAUAUGACAUCUCAUUAUUUGUAUAGCAUACUGUUUUUAUUGAAACAUAUUGAAAGACUUUUAUCUUGGUACUACAUUUUGGUAUUACAAACGAUGUGUUGAUUAUCAUGGCACUUUCAUCUUGGCAUAUUUGUUCCAAUAGAUAUGUAGGGUAAAUUCUUACUAUUAAAGCCAUUGGGUUAGAGGGCCGUGGACAUCACAUGUUUUUGAUAGCUACUAGCAGUUAUACGAGAGUGGCUGUUUCUGCACACCCUCACCAAUAUCAGGUGUCAUACAUAGUUAGAUAGAAUUUAUUUGGUUUAUGUGUGUUAGGUUAGGUAAUAAAUAUGUGUACACCCUUUUCUUUUUUCUCUAGAGAAAGGACUUUUUAGGUGUUGUGACACUGAACAAAUUUCAUCUCUCUGAGUCUCAGUUUUCUUAUCUGAAAAAUGGGGUUAAGCACACCUUAAGAAUAUUUAUAGAUUUGUUGUCAAGAUUAAAUAAUACAAUGUAAAAAAAGGACUUGACUCAAUAUUUGGCAAUGCCCAAUAAAUGGCAGGAACAUUCUUCUUGUGUUCUCUGUAGCACUGGAAACACAUGACACUCAAUGAAAACAAGAGGAGGAAAACCAGUUCAUCACUAUGGUACCCAUCAUUUUCUGACUGUUGAGCACAUCCAGAUGCCAUUGUAAGUUCUUCACUUAUUGGCUCAUUUAAUGCUAUUAAAUGUGCUAUUAUUAUCCUUAUUUUACACCAACUUUAGCAUUACAAGCUAUUUGGGAAUGGAUUUGGGAUUGAAACCUAGGCAGUCUGAAUAUAGAACUUGAGAUGGUAAGUAGUCCACCUUUCGGAAAUCAGAUGCUGUACAACAGGUUGCUCACCUUUUGCUCACCUUAGGCUGACGUGCUGCCUUGGGAGCCGCCAUCUUACUAAGGCUGGUCGGCUUCCUCAGCAGGCUUCACCAUUCCUCCCUUGGUGUGAUAUCACACUUAGAAGUGCCACCUGUUGUGGUUCAAAAAAAACACUAUAAUUAAGGAAGACAGUCAGAGGAAAACAAUAAGCAAAGUAAAAAAAAAUCGCAAAGUAAGAAAAGUAAAAAGAAAUAUCACAAUUUAUUCAAACACUGAUUUGAUACGUACUGGAUACUAUAUAAAGCCCUACAUCUAAAGAUAAAGCUCCACGUGAGUCUCCUCAGCCAAAUUUUACAGUAGUCCUUUAGCAGCAUGCCUUCAAUAAGUCAUGGGCUUGUGUGUUUUCAUGUGAGUAUUUAAAACGGUGUUUUAAAAUAAGUAUAAAUAUUCAUUGUUUGGCCUCACCUUCUAGAAUUUCUGUGUCGGCGUCAGGAGGGGAAGACUGUAGUAAGAAUUGUGCAUCUUAAUUUUGAAAUGGAGAACAUUCCCCAAAGCCCAAAGCAUACAGGUGAUUUUAUUUUAAGGCGGGGAUGAUAGACGAUGGUGAUCUUUCUCAUUUUACAAAUGAACAUUGAGGCUGCGAAUGUCAGACAGCAGGUGGGAACUUUUGUUGUGCUAUCAGGACAAAGGGAAGCAGGUUUGUGGAGCGUGACCUUGGGCUUUCAAAAGGGAUCCUGAUUCAAAAUUGAUAAACCUUUAGCUAGACUCACUAAGAAAAAAGAGAGAGAAGGCUAAAAUAAAUAAAAUUAAAAAUGA